AAUGGGGGCAACCCUGAUCCAGCGAUGCCGCGUGAGUGAUGAAGGCCUUCGGGUUGUAAAGCUCUUUUGCACGCGACGAUGAUGACGGUAGCGUGAGAAUAAGCCCCGGCUAACUCUGUGCCAGCAGCCGCGGUAAUACAGAGGGGGCUAGCGUUGUUCGGAAUGACUGGGCGUAAAGGGCGCGUAGGUGGUAUGACAAGUCAGGUGUGAAAGACCCAGGCUUAACCUGGGAACGGCAUUUGAGACUGUCAUGCUUGAGUCUGGGAGAGGAUAGCGGAAUUCCUAGUGUAGAGGUGAAAUUCGUAGAUAUUAGGAAGAACACCGGUGGCGAAGGCGGCUAUCUGGAACAGAACUGACACUGAGGCGCGAAAGCGUGGGGAGCAAA
Molecule: ribosomal RNA, 385 nt
Filed under: uncultured bacterium
Lineage: Bacteria
Description: bacterial SSU rRNA
Rfam family: Bacterial small subunit ribosomal RNA
Source: RNAcentral